This 433-nucleotide ribosomal RNA is filed under the name uncultured bacterium. Its description in RNAcentral is "partial 16S ribosomal RNA". It matches the Rfam family "Bacterial small subunit ribosomal RNA", at positions 29 to 507 of the family's 1533-position model. The record is from RNAcentral.
AACGAACGCUGGCGGCAUGCCUAACACAUGCAAGUCGAACGAGACCUUCGGGUCUAGUGGCGCACGGGUGCGUAACGCGUGGGAACCUGCCCUUAGGUUCGGAAUAACUCCCCGAAAGGGGUGCUAAUACCGGAUAAUGUCUUCGGACCAAAGAUUUAUCGCCUUUGGAUGGGCCCGCGUUGGAUUAGCUAGUUGGUAGGGUAAAAGCCUACCAAGGCGACGAUCCAUAGCUGGUCUGAGAGGAUGAUCAGCCACACUGGGACUGAGACACGGCCCAGACUCCUACGGGAGGCAGCAGUGGGGAAUAUUGGACAAUGGGCGAAAGCCUGAUCCAGCAAUACCGCGUGAGUGAUGAAGGCCUUAGGGUUGUAAAGCUCUUUUACCCGGGACGAUAAUGACAGUACCGGGAGAAUAAGCUCCGGCUAACUCCGUG